AGGGUUCGAUUCUGGCUCAGAAUGAACGCUGGCGGCAUGGCUAAGACAUGCAAGUCGAACGAACAUACUGAUUGGGUAACCGAGAGGUAUGUUAGUGGCGAAAGGGUGAGGAAUAGACAGGUAACGUACCCCGAACUUCAGGAUAGUGUCUCGAAAGGGGCGGUAAUACUGAAUGAUGUGCCUUGUGUAAUGCAGGGUAUCAAAGAUUUAUCGGUUUGGGAGCGGCCUGUUUCCUAUCAGCUAGUUGGUGAGGUAAUGGCUCACCAAGGCUACGACGGGUAGCGGGACUGAGAGGUUGGCCCGCCACAUCGGGACUGAGACACUGCCCGGACCUCCACGGAGGGCUGCAGUAACGAAUAUUGGGCAAUGGGCGAAAGCCUGACCCAGCAAAUGCCGCGUGUAGGAUGAAGCUCCUCGGAGUGUAAACUACUUUCAGGGAUUAGAAAGCUUCGGUUGAUCAAUCCCAGAAGAAGUCACGGCUAACUUCGUGCCAGCCGCCGC
This 501-nucleotide ribosomal RNA is filed under the name uncultured bacterium. RNAcentral's name for it is "bacterial SSU rRNA". It matches the Rfam family "Bacterial small subunit ribosomal RNA", at positions 8 to 518 of the family's 1533-position model. The record is from RNAcentral.